GCAGGGGGGCAGCUACACAUGCAAGUCGAGCGAACCUUCGGGUUAGCGGCGGACGGGUGAGUAACGCGUGGGAACGUACCCUCUUCUGCGGGAUAGCCACUGGAAACGGUGAGUAAUACCGCAUACGCCCUUCGGGGGAAAGAUUUAUCGGAGGAGGAUCGGCCCGCGUUGGAUUAGGUAGUUGGUGGGGUAAUGGCCUACCAAGCCUACGAUCCAUAGCUGGUUUUAGAGGAUGAUCAGCCACACUGGGACUGAGACACGGCCCAGACUCCUACGGGAGGCAGCAGUGGGGAAUCUUAGACAAUGGGCGCAAGCCUGAUCUAGCCAUGCCGCGUGAGUGACGAAGGCCUUAGGGUCGUAAAGCUCUUUCGCCAGAGAUGAUAAUGACAGUAUCUGGUAAAGAAACCCCGGCUAACUCCGUGCCAGCAGCCGCGGUAAUACGGAGGGGGUUAGCGUUGUUCGGAAUUACUGGGCGUAAAGCGCACGUAGGCGGAUUGGAAAGUUGGGGGUGAAAUCCCAGGGCUCAACCCUGGAACUGCCUCCAAAACUCCCAGUCUGGAGUUCGAGAGAGGUGAGUGGAAUUCCGAGUGUAGAGGUGAAAUUCGUAGAUAUUCGGAGGAACACCAGUGGCGAAGGCGGCUCACUGGCUCGAUACUGACGCUGAGGUGCGAAAGUGUGGGGAGCAAACAGGAUUAGAUACCCUGGUAGUC
Molecule: ribosomal RNA, 710 nt
Filed under: Roseovarius sp.
Lineage: Bacteria; Pseudomonadati; Pseudomonadota; Alphaproteobacteria; Rhodobacterales; Roseobacteraceae
Description: bacterial SSU rRNA
Rfam family: Bacterial small subunit ribosomal RNA
Source: RNAcentral